This 350-nucleotide unclassified non-coding RNA is filed under the name Bovista tomentosa. Its description in RNAcentral is "partial internal transcribed spacer region". The stretch from base 1 to 46 matches the Rfam family "Eukaryotic small subunit ribosomal RNA", at positions 1786 to 1831 of the family's 1831-position model. The record is from RNAcentral. Lineage: Eukaryota; Fungi; Basidiomycota; Agaricomycetes; Agaricales; Lycoperdaceae.
AAGUCGUAACAAGGUUUCCGUAGGUGAACCUGCGGAAGGAUCAUUAUUGAAUACUCUUGAUGGGUUGUAGCUGGCUCUUCGGGGCAUGUGCACGCCUGUCUUGACUUUAUCCAUCCACCUGUGCACCUUUUGUAGUCUUGGAGGUUGAGAGCAGUCGACUAUCGGAUACUUUCCGGAUGUGAGGAAUUGCUGAGUGCGAAAGCAUACAGCUCUUCUCAAAUGACUUGCAACACUUCUCCUUCAAGUACUAUGUAUUCAUAUACCACAUAGUAUGUUGUAGAAUGUGAUCAAUGGGCUUAUAUGCCUAUAAUAAUCAUAUACAACUUUCAGCAACGGAUCUCUUGGCUCUC